RNAcentral lists this ribosomal RNA (409 nucleotides) under uncultured bacterium. Its description in RNAcentral is "bacterial SSU rRNA". It matches the Rfam family "Bacterial small subunit ribosomal RNA", at positions 930 to 1349 of the family's 1533-position model. The record is from RNAcentral.
UAGCGGAGCGUGUGGUUUAAUUCGAUGCAACACGAAGAACCUUACCAGGGCUUGACAUGUUGGAAGUAGUGGAACGAAAGUGGAACGAACUGUUAAAUCAGUAACCUUCACAGGUGCUGCAUGGCUGUCGUCAGCUCGUGCCGUGAGGUGUCGGGUUAAGUCCCAUAACGAGCGCAACCCCUGUUGCCAGUUAAUUUCUCUGGCGAGACUGCCCCGCAAAACGGGGAGGAAGGCGGGGAUGACGUCAAGUCAGUAUGGCCUUUAUGCCCUGGGCCACACCACACGCUACAAUGGGUGGUACAGCAGGUUGCAAUGGAGCGAUCCAGAGCUAAUCCUCAAAACCACUCUCAGUUCGGAUUGUAGGCUGAAAUUCGCCUGCAUGAAGUCGGAGUUGCUAGUAACCGCAUAA